AGUGAACGCUGGCGGCAGGCCUAAUACAUGCAAGUCGAACGGACGCACAGUAAGAGUUUGCCCCUACGGGUGGCGAGUGGCGGACGGGUGAGGAAUACAUCGGCAUCUACUAUUUCGUGGGGGAUAUCGUAGGGAAACUUACGCUACUACCGCAUAUGUCCUACCGGUGAAAGCAGUGGAUCUUCGGACCUUGCGCGAUUGAUUGAGCCGAUGUCGGAUUAGCUAGUUGGCGGGGUAAAGGCCCACCAAGGCGACGAUCCGUAGCUGGUCUGAGAGGAUGAUCAGCCACACUGGAACUUAGACACGGUCCAGACUCCUACGGGAGGCAGCAGUGGGGAAUAUUGGACAAUGGGCGCAAGCCUGAUCCAGCCAAACCGCGUGGGUGAAGAAGGCCUUCGGGUUGUAAAGCCCUUUUGUUGGGGAAGAAAAGAUGCAGAAUAAUACCCCGCUGUUUUGACGGUACCCAAAGAGUAAGCACCGGCUAACUUCGUG
Molecule: ribosomal RNA, 492 nt
Filed under: uncultured bacterium
Lineage: Bacteria
Description: partial 16S ribosomal RNA
Rfam family: Bacterial small subunit ribosomal RNA
Source: RNAcentral